Molecule: ribosomal RNA, 468 nt
Filed under: uncultured bacterium
Lineage: Bacteria
Description: partial 16S ribosomal RNA
Rfam family: Bacterial small subunit ribosomal RNA
Source: RNAcentral
GACGAACGCUGGCGGCGUGCUUAACACAUGCAAGUCGAACGGAAAGGCCCUGCUUUUGUGGGGUGCUCGAGUGGCGAACGGGUGAGUAACACGUGAGUAACCUGCCCUUGACUUUGGGAUAACUUCAGGAAACUGGGGCUAAUCCCGGAUAGGAGCUCCUGCUGCAUGGUGGGGGUUGGAAAGUUUCGGCGGGUGGGGAUGGACUCGCGGCUUAUCAGCUUGUUGGUGGGGUAGUGGCUUACCAAGGCUUUGACGGGUAGCCGGCCUGAGAGGGUGACCGGCCACAUUGGGACUGAGAUACGGCCCAGACUCCUACGGGAGGCAGCAGUGGGGAAUAUUGCACAAUGGGCGGAAGCCUGAUGCAGCAACGCCGCGUGCGGGAUGACGGCCUUCGGGUUGUAAACCGCUUUCGCCUGUGACGAAGCGUGAGUGACGGUAAUGGGUAAAGAAGCACCGGCUAACUACGUG